This 75-nucleotide transfer RNA is filed under the name Paenibacillaceae bacterium. RNAcentral describes it as "tRNA-Arg". It matches the Rfam family "tRNA". Rfam says of the family: Transfer RNA (tRNA) molecules are approximately 80 nucleotides in length. The record is from RNAcentral. Lineage: Bacteria; Bacillati; Bacillota; Bacilli; Caryophanales; Paenibacillaceae.
GCGCUCGUAGUUAAACGGAUAUAACGUAGGCCUCCGAAGCCUGAGAUCGAGGUUCGAUUCCUCGCGAGCGCGCCA